Molecule: ribosomal RNA, 492 nt
Filed under: uncultured bacterium
Lineage: Bacteria
Description: partial 16S ribosomal RNA
Rfam family: Bacterial small subunit ribosomal RNA
Source: RNAcentral
AGUGAACGCUGGCGGUAGGCCUAACACAUGCAAGUCGAACGGCAGCACAGUAAGAGCUUGCUCUUACGGGUGGCGAGUGGCGGACGGGUGAGGAAUACAUCGGAAUCUACUUUUUCGUGGGGGAUAACGUAGGGAAACUUACGCUAAUACCGCAUACGACCUACGGGUGAAAGCAGGGGAUCUUCGGACCUUGCGCGAUUGAAUGAGCCGAUGUCGGAUUAGCUAGUUGGCGGGGUAAAGGCCCACCAAGGCGACGAGCCGUAGCUGGUCUGAGAGGAUGAUCAGCCACACUGGAACUGAGACACGUUCCAGACUCCUACGGGAGGCAGCAGUGGGGAAUAUUGGACAAUGGGUGCAAGCCUGAUCCAGCCAUACCGCGUGGGUGAAGAAGGCCUUCGGGUUGUAAAGCCCUUUUGUUGGGAAAGAAAAGCAGCAGGUUAAUACCCCGCUGUUCUGACGGUACCCAAAGAAUAAGCACCGGCUAACUUCGUG